Non-coding RNA from Paramuricea clavata, 138 nucleotides. NCBI's taxonomy places the organism in Eukaryota, Metazoa, Cnidaria, Anthozoa, Malacalcyonacea, Plexauridae. The record is from the annotation of a GenBank genome assembly.
AUCCGAUGGAUCCAAAGGAUGCGAUGGAUAAAUAGAUAUCUAUUUAUCCAUCGCAUCCUUUGGAUCCAUCGGAUCCAUUUUUUUUUCGAUGGAUAAAUAGAUAUCUAUUUAUCCAUCGCAUCCUUUGGAUCCAUCGGA